Molecule: transfer RNA, 72 nt
Organism: Sugiyamaella lignohabitans
Lineage: Eukaryota; Fungi; Ascomycota; Dipodascomycetes; Dipodascales; Trichomonascaceae
Rfam family: tRNA
About the family: Transfer RNA (tRNA) molecules are approximately 80 nucleotides in length. Their secondary structure includes four short double-helical elements and three loops (D, anti-codon, and T loops).
Source: Rfam
CAGAUAUAAGCCAAACGGUGAGGCGCUACUUUUGGGAAGUAGAUACGGUUAGUUCGACUCUAACAUAUCUGA